Homo sapiens (human) is the source of this 1465-nucleotide long non-coding RNA. RefSeq lists it as uncharacterized. The record is from RefSeq and is a predicted model, not a curated record. The transcript is spliced from 3 exons. NCBI's taxonomy places the organism in Eukaryota, Metazoa, Chordata, Mammalia, Primates, Hominidae.
UGUAUUCAUAAUUUUGCAUUCUUUUCCUUUGAAGGUCCCCAACGCUUGGAGUGUAACUUGAGUGGAGUACCUGUUUUCCUUUACUUCUCCCACCUAGACCUGAGUGCUUCUGGCCCUGAAACAUGUGCAAAUUCAUCACAUGCUGGAGAGCUACGAUGCACCUUCUCUGCCCCAGCUAGACCUCCUAUUUGCAUGGUGGUUUUUAGUUUCAAAGCUCUUUCAAUAGUAUUGCCUCAUUUAAUCCUCCUACUAAUUCUUCAAGGAGGGCUGCAGGAACUUGGAGUACUACAUGUAAUAACAUACUGGUCAUCACUCUUGGCAAAUAUUGAAAGCUUCACUUGGUCCCUGACACCUAAAGGAUAAAGAAGAGCUUGAUGAUCUGAUGUGAGGACCCGGCUUGGGGAUGACGGCAGAUCCUAUCUCCCUUCUCUCCAGUCUCAAUUCUAGCAAGCAGCAUCUUUCAGCUUAUGUUGGGGAGUGAAGCAGGAUCUGUGACCUAGGACCGAAGCUGGCGCCUGGCGGGACGACUCAGACACCAGACUUUGGACCACAAUACCAUCAACUAUUAGUGUCUGUCUCUCCAGGAUCCCUAGCAACUAAUGUUAUUUUUAGUGACUGACUCUUUAAUAUGUACUGCUUGUGAAUAUGAAUUUAAAUGUUAUGUCCAGGGCACACAGCAGUGCACACAGCACUAGCAGUUGGGGCAAUUGAGGUAUUAAUUUUCUACUCGGUAACUCGCAUCGUCAUCCACAACCUGCAGAGCAAAGCCCAAACUCUGUACCGCAGCACUCAAGACCCUCUAUUAGCUGACUCCAUCCUAACUGCCUAGUGCCAUGUUCCAGUCACAGGACCUGGGGUCCUGUCAUACAGACAUGUUCCAUUUCCAAAUAAGCCAUGCAGAGCUCUGCAUCUGUGCUGAGCUGCUCCUUCGGCCGAGAAGGUCGUUUCUGUCUUCUGUGGCUGAAACUCAUGCUCCCUCAGGGUCCACAGCUGUGUACUAAGUGCUGGUGCUGGCACAGUGAUGCACGUCCUUCUCACAUCAAACUCGGACAGGGCUAGGGUGUGGCCUCAGAACAGCCCACUUCUCCUUAGCAGCACAUUAUCUGUCAUCUACUUAUGAGUUCAAAAGUGGAGAUGACAGAAACAAGGAAAUAAAAGUGCAUCUUCAACAUAAGAGGAAGUGCACAGUCUCACUCAUAAUAAGAAAAAUGCUAAGUAAAAAUUCCAGCAAGAUACAGUUUCUAAUCCAGCAGUUUGGCGGAAAGAAGAGAAGUUGGAUGAAACAACUAUGGUCAGGCUGUCAGAAAAAGGGCAUUUUCGUGUAGAAUUGGAAGGUUUGUAAAUGUGUAAAACCACUGAGGAUGACUAUCUCGAAAUACCUAGUAAAUUAUAAAUACACCCUAUCCUUUGACCCAGAAAUUCCACUUCUAAGAAUAUAUCCUACAUAUAGCAGUACACAUGGGAA